This is a non-coding RNA of Kogia breviceps (pygmy sperm whale), 243 nucleotides long. The record is from RefSeq and is a predicted model, not a curated record. NCBI's taxonomy places the organism in Eukaryota, Metazoa, Chordata, Mammalia, Artiodactyla, Physeteridae.
AAGGGAGGCCUGCCUGAGAAUGGAGGCUGCGGCUCAGAGCGCUGCGUGCCGGAUCUUAGUUCCCUGACCAGGGAUUGAACCCAUUGCCCCCUGCGGUGGAAAAGCGGAAUCUUAACCACUGGACGGCCAGGGAAGUCCCAAGAUUUUCUAAGACUAAAGGAGAUCUCUGUUAUGGAUUAAAUGUUUGUGACCCCCUCCGAAAAUUCAUAUACUGAAGCCCUCACCACCUAGUGUGACUGUAUU